RNAcentral lists this ribosomal RNA (454 nucleotides) under uncultured Anoxybacillus sp. RNAcentral describes it as "bacterial SSU rRNA". It matches the Rfam family "Bacterial small subunit ribosomal RNA", at positions 925 to 1382 of the family's 1533-position model. The record is from RNAcentral. Lineage: Bacteria; Bacillati; Bacillota; Bacilli; Caryophanales; Anoxybacillaceae.
ACAAGCGGUGGAGCAUGUGGUUAAUUCGAAGCAACGCGAAGAACCUUACCAGGUCUUGACAUCCCUGACACCCGAGAGAUCGGCGUUCCCCUUCGGGGGACAGGGUGACAGGUGGUGCAUGGUUGUCGUCAGCUCGUGUCGUGAGAUGUUGGGUUAAGUCCCGCAACGAGCGCAACCCUCGACCUUAGUUGCCAGCAUUCAGUUGGGCACUCUAAGGUGACUGCCGGCUAAAAGUCGGAGGAAGGUGGGGAUGACGUCAAAUCAUCAUGCCCCUUAUGACCUGGGCUACACACGUGCUACAAUGGGCGGUACAAAGGGUCGCGAACCCGCGAGGGGGAGCCAAUCCCAAAAAGCCGCUCUCAGUUCGGAUUGCAGGCUGCAACUCGCCUGCAUGAAGCCGGAAUCGCUAGUAAUCGCGGAUCAGCAUGCCGCGGUGAAUACGUUCCCGGGCCUU